Non-coding RNA from Nylanderia fulva, 531 nucleotides. Lineage: Eukaryota; Metazoa; Arthropoda; Insecta; Hymenoptera; Formicidae. The record is from RefSeq and is a predicted model, not a curated record.
GUAGUUUUUAUAUUUUUCUCUUCUAUAAUUUUUCAAUUUUUGUUAAGGGUAUCAUCAGAUAUUGAAAGUUUUCAGUUAUGGAAUUUUUGCAUUACUUCUCACAUGUUGCUUAUUGUAAAGUGUCAAUCUAUUUCACAAAGUAUAUUUUUUGAAGAAUUAAAAAAGAAAAGGAUUCUUUCUUUUUAACUUACUGAUCACCGUAAAGAUAAACUGCCGCCAUUUGCCUGGCUCCUUUGCCGAUUUUUCACGCUUCUUCAUCACACGUCGUACAGGCAGAAAAAUGUGAUCGCAAUAACAGAAUGUUUCUGAAUUGUCGACGGAUUCGAACCGGAGAUCGAAUAGAGAUGAGAUUCGCGAGCGACGAGAAACCGAUACAUUUGUACAAACUAAACGGUAACCUGCCUCAUACUCGACCAAUUUCCCAGGCAUCCUUAUCUCGUCUCACUAACGAAGGCGAUAAAUAUUGUACAUAACGUGUAAAUUGAAGUAUAUGCGCAUAUUCUUUGCAUACAAUAAAUAUACCUUCUUUUA